CACGUAGGUGGCAAGCGUUAUCCGGAUUUAUUGGGCGUAAAGCGCACGCAGGCGGUUGAUUAAGUUUGGCGUGAAAUCUCUCGGCUCAACCGGGAGGGGUCGUUGAAAACUGAUCAGCUUGAGGCAAUGAGAGGGAUGCAGAAUUCCUGGUGUAGUGGUGGAAUGCGUAGAUAUCAGGAGGAAUACCAGUGGCGAAAGCGGCAUCCUGGCAUUGUACUGACGCUCAUGUGCGAAAGCGUGGGGAGCAAACGGG
Molecule: ribosomal RNA, 253 nt
Filed under: uncultured bacterium
Lineage: Bacteria
Description: partial 16S ribosomal RNA
Rfam family: Bacterial small subunit ribosomal RNA
Source: RNAcentral